UGAGUGUCUCUUUGCUCCCAGCAUUACCCCAGAGUCAACAGGUCAACCAUGGCUUUAAAAAACCCUUUGAUAUUCAUUCCCCUCAAGGUAUUGGGGUGUUCACUCCACAAUCAGCCAUGCAAGCAUUAGAAAUGCUGCAACCUGUUUGUUAUUUGAUGCCCUUUUUUGACCUAUUUUUUUUAGUGAUGUGUUAUUGAUUCCAUUUACCUGUUGUGUUUUCACUGUUCCCCUUUCCUUCCCAUCUAAUAUCUCAGUAAGUUUCCUUUUUGUGGCAUAAUCUUAACUUUGACGAAGAUUCAGUUCUGCUUUUCAUUUGAAUUCUAAGGGUUUUCACAAGAAUUUGAGGAAGCUGAAAUGCAGUUCUCCAUCUUGAAUAGAUGUUAUGCAAUUCUAUAAAGUGUUGUGGAUUUCUUGUCUUAUCAGUAACAAAAUGUGGAUGAGGAGCAUGAACUACACUUGAUUCCCAAGAGAAUGUAGGAAGAAAGGAAGCUGAACACCUUCUCAUAAGAUGAGAAGGGAGCAUUGUAUGGGGACCCUCAGCUUUUUCUUUUAGAAUUUCUUAUUCACACAGAGCAGUAACACUGGCUCAGAGGACUCUAAGCAGGCCUCUCAUUCUUCUUCAAGCCCUUUCUUACCACAAAUGUUAACAAAGUCAAAGACAACACUCAAAUGUGUAGCUGGUAGCUGCACCAGGUAGUAGCCCUCUAUUUGUUAACAGAGUAAAGGGCUCUAGAAGCUGGGUAGCACCUACAGCUGCCAACUCACAUUCUACAUGGGCAGGCACAGCUGUUUGUGGUUUUCCCCCUCCCUGGAGCGUUAUUUUGCUAGCACCUGGCAAAUGCACCUGGUAGGGGUUUCUGGGACUGAGGAACAAACAGCACUGAACACACUCAUUGUGCUGGCUGAGAAAGAGCACCCCAAAAUAGCAUUUGAAAGUGGCAAAGGCAAAUAACCCUUCCUGCAGCUACAGGUCAAGAUAAUUCUGAGCUGGACAGUUCCUUCCUACUAAUAAUUAAAUACACUCAUGGAAAAGCAAUUUUCUGUCUUCAUUAAGAGGACAUCAAGAGCUUUCCCAGAGUUUGAGACAUGGUGCAUGCACAGCACUGGGACAGCCCCCACCAAAAGAAAGUGGGACUUCAGGCAUGUCUAUAUGAGAAAUGUGGCAUGCAAACCCCCAUGUCCCUCUCCACAAUGUCUCAUUUUCUACAACUGCUGAAGAUUUAAGCAGCUGGAUGCAGUAGGGAGCUGCUGAAGAUGGGGGUGAGGCAAAGUCCUGGGUGUCAAUGUGCCCUCCAACCUUGUGAAAGCUUGGGCAUGUAUCUCAAAUUUAUGGCUGGGGUUCCAACGAGGAGUAAUUGUUGUAAUUGGAGUCCAAGAGCAGUAGUUGCUGUGCUAGAGUACCUGAAAUGGUGAAAUCUCCUUUCACUGUCAGGUGCUGAGCACGCAGAGGCUUGGAGGGGUGGCUCACUGCAAUAAUCUGGUGACAAGUGUUGACUUAUGGAGCUCUGUCAAGGAACUGCACUUCCUUCUUCUGCUGCCUGAACUUUAUCUGCAAACAAAGGCCCCAAGCCAGGUGUCUCUGUGGCAAGAAAUGUUAAGAGUGACAGCAGAUAUUACAAAGCUUAUUUCUUAGCAUGAUUUCUCAUAAUCACAUUGUAAAAUCCAUGUUUUCAUAUUUUGCUACACAGUAGGAAUGUCCAAGUAGAGCUGUUUAAGAGGUGUAACUUCACCCUAGUUUCAGUGAUUAUAAAGAACAGGAAACAACUUAAGGAAGAAAGAAGCAAAAGUUAACCCUAUGCUAGAAGUUGUUCCUGCAUUUGCUAGCUGGAGUGCUCAAUAAAACUUAUAUGCAAUUUAUAUCUUUUUUCCAAUGUAAUUUGCAAGUAUUCAUAAAUCAAUCCUUACAACACUCUUGUGGAUUGAGUACAAAUUUCUUUUCAACUAAGCAAAAGUACAGACUUGUCACUGUACAGUGGCUCGUUAAGAAGAUGUUGAACUUAUUGUGCCACUCCAGACCUGGUAGCACUGGAUCCAAACUUUUGGUUUGGAUCCUUUGGCUGAUGGCCACUAAGGUACCUUUGCACAGACAGUGCCUGUCUGCCAGGAGUGCUGGAGACUCGAGCCAGCUGCCUGUCAGUCAUACACUGACUAUAAAAGAUCGACUUUAAAGCAGGAUCUGCCAUUAAAAAAUAACUUCCACGUCCAAACAAGCCUUAUGUACACAGCCUUAUCUAGAGAACCCUAGAUUGCCUCCACUCUGAGAUAACAAAGAAACCUUAGCCAGGACCACAUCUCAGUGGAUGAAACGAGUGCCUGUGUCAGGUGCUGCCCAGUCAAGGAGGAUCUGCUCUGUAUCAAACAGGAUCCAGAGCCUGUAAACCCAUGGAUUGCUCCUGCAUGCCUUGAGGCACAGCCAAAAUGUCUUUCUCUUCUUGUGCUAAGGCCAAAAUGCUUUUCCCAGGCAGCAUUCAUGCAGAUCCAUCUCAUUCAUACAUGGAGGAAAAAGGUGGUUUCAUGAAUUAUUUUAUGCCCUGUCAUUUUAAGGUGGUUAAUUCAAAGUCUGAGAUUCCUUUUUUUACUGAAAGCUCCUUCAGGUCCUAGAACCAGGAAGAUAUCUCCAAUCAAAGGAAGUCCAUCACACGAAUCUCUGAGUAGAAACAUUCCUUGGCACAUAAGACUUAAUGGUGAAUGUUCAAAAUUUCUUUAUGGUUGUUUUCAUUGGAAUACCUUGAAGCAGGGAUACUCUGUAGUCAGGACACACAGCCCUGUUCUUUGCUUGAGUAAUUUCAGAUUUACAAUAGAAUUCAUUUAAACUUAUGUAGAAUGGAUUCAUUUUAUCUAAAUGAAGAGUCUAACUGUCAAGUGGACAAGUAUUUCAUGUUAACCCUGGGGUUCCUCUUUCUCCUGGCCCUAUCAUCCAAAACAUGCUUAGCCCUUGCCUGUUAUUUUCCUAAUGUAUGUGGAGUACAGUGCCAAACCGAGAUAGUGAUUCAAAGUUAAGUAAAUAUUCCUGAAGAAUUUAAUAUUCAUUGAACUUAACCUAGCAAUUUGAAUAAAAAAUUUAU
Molecule: long non-coding RNA, 3065 nt
Organism: Passer domesticus (house sparrow)
Lineage: Eukaryota; Metazoa; Chordata; Aves; Passeriformes; Passeridae
Exons: 3
Source: RefSeq, a predicted model, not a curated record